This 122-nucleotide ribosomal RNA is filed under the name Oryza sativa Indica Group (long-grained rice). Lineage: Eukaryota; Viridiplantae; Streptophyta; Magnoliopsida; Poales; Poaceae. The record is from RNAcentral.
CGGAUGCGAUCAUACCAGCACUAAAGCACCAGAUCCCAUUAGAACUUCGAAGUUAAGCGUGCUUGGGCGAGAGUAGUACUAGGAUGGGUGACCUCCUGGGAAGUCCUCGUGUUGCAUCCCUC